This 610-nucleotide ribosomal RNA is filed under the name uncultured bacterium. Its description in RNAcentral is "bacterial SSU rRNA". It matches the Rfam family "Bacterial small subunit ribosomal RNA", at positions 509 to 1118 of the family's 1533-position model. The record is from RNAcentral.
CAGCAGCCGCGGUAAUACAGAGGGUGCAAGCGUUAAUCGGAAUUACUGGGCGUAAAGCGCACGUAGGCGGUUUUUUAAGUCAGAUGUGAAAGCCCCGGGCUCAACCUGGGAACUGCAUUUGAAACUGGAAAACUAGAGUGUGUGAGAGGGGGGUAGAAUUCCAAGUGUAGCGGUGAAAUGCGUAGAGAUUUGGAGGAAUACCAGUGGCGAAGGCGGCCCCCUGGCACAACACUGACGCUCAGGUGCGAAAGCGUGGGGAGCAAACAGGAUUAGAUACCCUGGUAGUCCACGCCGUAAACGAUGUCUACUAGCUGUUCGUGGUCUUGUAUUGUGAGUAGCGCAGCUAACGCACUAAGUAGACCGCCUGGGGAGUACGGUCGCAAGAUUAAAACUCAAAUGAAUUGACGGGGGCCCGCACAAGCGGUGGAGCAUGUGGUUUAAUUCGACGCAACGCGAAGAACCUUACCUACUCUUGACAUCUAGCGAAGAUUGUAGAGAUACGAUUGUGCCUUCGGGAACGCUAAGACAGGUGCUGCAUGGCUGUCGUCAGCUCGUGUUGUGAAAUGUUGAGUUAAGUCCCGUAACGAGCGCAACCCUUAUCCUUUGUUGC